GAUGAAGAACGUAGCGAAAUGCGAUAAGUAAUGUGAAUUGCAGAAUUCAGUGAAUCAUCGAAUCUUUGAACGCACAUUGCGCCCCCCAGUAUUCUGGCGGGCAUGCCUGUUCGAGCGUCAUUUCAACCAUCAAGCCCUGCUUGUGUUGGGGUCCUGCGGCUGCCCGCAGGCCCUGAAAACCAGUGGCGGGCUCGCUAGUCACACCGAGCGCAGUAGCACAUCUCGCUCAGGGCGUGCGGCGGGCUGCAGCCGUUAAAGCACCCACCUUUCGCAAGGUUGACCUCGGAUCAGGUAGGAAUACCCGCUGAACUUAAGCAUAUCAAUAAGCGGAGGA
Molecule: unclassified non-coding RNA, 334 nt
Filed under: soil metagenome
Description: partial contains 5.8S ribosomal RNA, internal transcribed spacer 2, and large subunit ribosomal RNA
Rfam family: 5.8S ribosomal RNA (bases 1-120)
Source: RNAcentral